This is a non-coding RNA of Vicia faba (fava bean), 315 nucleotides long. Lineage: Eukaryota; Viridiplantae; Streptophyta; Magnoliopsida; Fabales; Fabaceae. The record is from the annotation of a GenBank genome assembly.
AUGGGUUCCCGGCCGCGCCUCUAUUGGGCCAUUGAUUGGCAUGCUUUCCUCUACAUACUUAUACAAAGAAGUCAUGAAGAAGACAAAAAAAGUGAGUUUCAGAUCUUACCGGUCGGAGGCGUUGCAACGCUGUUUCGUAGUCACCAUCGUCGAAACAAAAGUUCAGAAAUCAAUUCAGAGGGAAUCAGUUGGAGGAAGUUAAAUUCUAAGUCCUUGGAUUUGAUGGAUCAGUUUUUCUGUUAUGCAUAUGUUGUUCAGAAGUUGGUUACAGGUUCAGUGGUGCAGCUUGGCAUGGUGAAUGAAAAGGUAUAUUGA